AAAAAUCUAAUAUUAACUCUCUUAGCGUGUGUUCGUUUGAGAAGAAAUAACUAUUUACACAUAUUUGCGAGCGAGGAAUGGAGUUGUCUUUCGUGUUCUCUUGAGAAGAAAUGCAACUGUUCACGACGAUGGAUUUGCAGUGAAAUGGGAGAUAUCUGCACUGUUCACUCACCUGCAGAUUGGGUGAGAUUUGGAGGGAUGGAAUCCAAAUUCUCUUAAAUGCCCCUGUAGCGAUCUGACUAUGCACUCUUUUUACGAAGUUUUGUGGCUUUAAUGGUAUAUAGUAAAUAAUCAAUACUCUUCCUCUCUGUAUUGUUCAAUUUAGUUAUUCACCCUAAAAAGAAUAGAGGAGGUG
This 355-nucleotide long non-coding RNA is filed under the name Vigna radiata. RNAcentral describes it as "long non-coding RNA (VRAD_LNC008889)". Lineage: Eukaryota; Viridiplantae; Streptophyta; Magnoliopsida; Fabales; Fabaceae. The record is from RNAcentral.